UGAGAAUUCACAAGUUCAAACCCAAACAU
This 29-nucleotide non-coding RNA is filed under the name Rattus norvegicus (Norway rat). The record is from RNAcentral. Lineage: Eukaryota; Metazoa; Chordata; Mammalia; Rodentia; Muridae.